Molecule: ribosomal RNA, 429 nt
Filed under: Chloroflexota bacterium
Lineage: Bacteria; Bacillati; Chloroflexota
Description: Chloroflexi bacterium partial 16S ribosomal RNA
Rfam family: Bacterial small subunit ribosomal RNA
Source: RNAcentral
UGGGGAAUAUUGCACAAUGGGCGCAAGCCUGAUGCAGCCAUGCCGCGUGUAUGAAGAAGGCCUUCGGGUUGUAAAGUACUUUCAGCGGGGAGGAAGGGAGUAAAGUUAAUACCUUUGCUCAUUGACGUUACCCUCAGAAGAAGCACCGGCUAACUCCGUGCCAGCAGCCGCGGUAAUACGGAGGGUGCAAGCGUUAAUCGGAAUUACUGGGCGUAAAGCGCACGCAGGCGGUUUGUUAAGUCAGAUGUGAAAUCCCCGGGCUCAACCUGGAAACUGCAUCUGAAACUGGCAAGCUUGAGUCUCGUAGAGGGGGGUAGAAUUCCAGGUGUAGCGGUGAAAUGCGUAGAGAUCUGGAGGAAUACCGGUGGCGAAGGCGGCCCCCUGGACGAAGACUGACGCUCAGGUGCGAAAGCGUGGGGAGCAAACAGG